UGACCACUCAAGCCUCGCUUGGUAUUGGGGUUCGCGGUCUUGCGGCCUCUAAAAUCAGUGGCGGUGCCGUCUGGCUCUAAGCGUAGUAAUUUUCUCGCUAUGGGGUCCGGAUAGUUACUUGUCAAAACCCUAACUUCUCAC
RNAcentral lists this unclassified non-coding RNA (141 nucleotides) under uncultured Hyaloscyphaceae. RNAcentral describes it as "sequence contains ITS2". Lineage: Eukaryota; Fungi; Ascomycota; Leotiomycetes; Helotiales. The record is from RNAcentral.